AUCUAUGUUAGUUAUUAAUAGCUGUUACAUCCAUUCAUCCCAGCCAUAAUCUUUUGCUUACUCUAAAUCCCUCCCUCUAUUUCACCCUCCACAGCCAAUCAAACACGAUGUUGUGUCAAUACUACUUUCUCAAAUACUUUGACCCUUCCCUUUUCUAUCCUCCAGGACUUGGGAGCACAGCCAUCUGUUUGGCCUAGAUUAUUGCUCUUUGCUCCAAUUAUCAUGGCCUCCAAUUUACCCCAAUACUGCCCUUCCUGCCUGAGUAAUACUUCUAGAGGGCAAACUAGGUUUUCACUUUCCUGCUAAUGAAACAUCAUAAUUCCUUACCUCUUUCAGACACAAAGUUUAGCAUCUUUAAUUUUUCUUACAAGUAUCCUCAGGUGAAGCCUCUGUGUUUUUCUCUACACUUUGCCUUUCCCCUUUGUAUGCUAGGCUGUGGCCACAGAGAGCUAUUUAAAUUUCCCAAACGAUAAGCAGGAGGCAUCUUUAAGACAGAAAAGAGUGUUGAGACUGAAAAAGGUAUUAUUUGCUGAGAAGUAGAAUAUGCAGGGGCAUGAGGAAAUAGGGCUUGGAUGGGAAUUUUCUA
Molecule: non-coding RNA, 586 nt
Organism: Vicugna pacos (alpaca)
Lineage: Eukaryota; Metazoa; Chordata; Mammalia; Artiodactyla; Camelidae
Source: RefSeq, a predicted model, not a curated record